Molecule: small nucleolar RNA, 94 nt
Filed under: Chinchilla lanigera (long-tailed chinchilla)
Lineage: Eukaryota; Metazoa; Chordata; Mammalia; Rodentia; Chinchillidae
Description: Small nucleolar RNA SNORA40 (ENSCLAG00000018621.1)
Rfam family: Small nucleolar RNA SNORA40
About the family: The snoRNA ACA 40 belongs to the H/ACA family of snoRNAs and guides the pseudouridylation of 28S rRNA subunit at position U4565.
Source: Rfam by way of RNAcentral
GGUGCUUAAUGAACAGGCGCAAAAAAUAAACCCUCUUUAGCAACCCAGGACUCAUCGUUUGGUAUGAGUUUUGAUAGAUAUAAGAAGGAAUAUU